This 391-nucleotide unclassified non-coding RNA is filed under the name soil metagenome. Its description in RNAcentral is "partial contains 5.8S ribosomal RNA, internal transcribed spacer 2, and large subunit ribosomal RNA". The stretch from base 1 to 122 matches the Rfam family "5.8S ribosomal RNA", at positions 35 to 154 of the family's 154-position model. The record is from RNAcentral.
GAUGAAGAACGUAGUGAAAUGCGAUACUUGGCGUGAAUUGCAGAAUCCCGUGAACCAUCGAGUCUUUGAACGCAAGUUGCGCCCGAAGCCAUUAGGCCGAGGGCACGCCUGCCUGGGCGUCACACGUCGUUGCCCCCCCAUCUACUCCUUCGGGAUUGCGGGGGGCGGAUGAUGGCCUCCCGUGCGCCUCGUCGCGCGGUUGGCAUAAAUGCCAAGUCCUCGGCGACGCACGCCACGACAAUCGGUGGUUGCGAAACCUCGGUUGCCCGUCGUGUGCGGUCGUCGCGCAUCGAGGGCUCGAAAAAAUUGUCGGGCUCCGGCUCGGCUUUCAACGCGACCCCAGGUCAGGCGGGGUUACCCGCUGAAUUUAAGCAUAUCAAUAAGCGGAGGA